RNAcentral lists this ribosomal RNA (460 nucleotides) under uncultured bacterium. RNAcentral's name for it is "partial 16S ribosomal RNA". It matches the Rfam family "Bacterial small subunit ribosomal RNA", at positions 338 to 795 of the family's 1533-position model. The record is from RNAcentral.
CCUACGGGAGACAGCAGUGAGGAAUAUUGGUCAAUGGACGCAAGUCUGAACCAGCCAUGCCGCGUGCAGGAAGACGGCCCUAUGAGUUGUAAACUGCUUUUGUACGAGGGUAAACGCAGAUACGCGUAUCUGUCUGAAAGUAUCGUACGAAUAAGGAUCGGCUAACUCCGUGCCAGCAGCCGCGGUAAUACGGAGGAUUCAAGCGUUAUCCGGAUUUAUUGGGUUUAAAGGGUGCGUAGGCGGUCGGAUAAGUUAGAGGUGAAAUCCCGAGGCUCAACUUCGGAAUUGCCUCUGAUACUGUUCGGCUAGAGAGUAGGUGCGGUAGGCGGAAUGUAUGGUGUAGCGGUGAAAUGCUUAGAGAUCAUACAGAACACCGAUUGCGAAGGCAGCUUACCAAGCUACUUCUGACGUUGAGGCACGAAAGCGUGGGGAGCGAACAGGAUUAGAUACCCGGGUAGUC